UCAAGUUAUUAUUCAAUUAAAAAAAAAUGAAUUUGGUCAGGUCUUAAUUGAAGCAGCCAUAAGUUUUAAUUUGAUGUGGAUAAUAACUUGAGUA
This 94-nucleotide signal recognition particle RNA is filed under the name 'Cynodon dactylon' phytoplasma. Its description in RNAcentral is "signal recognition particle sRNA small type". It matches the Rfam family "Bacterial small signal recognition particle RNA". From Rfam's summary of the family: The signal recognition particle (SRP) is a universally conserved ribonucleoprotein involved in the co-translational targeting of proteins to membranes. The record is from RNAcentral. Lineage: Bacteria; Bacillati; Mycoplasmatota; Mollicutes; Acholeplasmatales; Acholeplasmataceae.